GCCGGCGUAGCUCAGUGGCAGAGCAGCUGAUUCGUAAUCAGCAGGUCGCGGGUUCAAAUCCCAUCGCCGGCUCCA
Molecule: transfer RNA, 75 nt
Filed under: Pseudomonadota bacterium
Lineage: Bacteria; Pseudomonadati; Pseudomonadota
Also listed under: 6 other names
Description: tRNA-Thr
Rfam family: tRNA
About the family: Transfer RNA (tRNA) molecules are approximately 80 nucleotides in length. Their secondary structure includes four short double-helical elements and three loops (D, anti-codon, and T loops). Further hydrogen bonds mediate the characteristic L-shaped molecular structure. tRNAs have two regions of fundamental functional importance: the anti-codon, which is responsible for specific mRNA codon recognition, and the 3' end, to which the tRNAs corresponding amino acid is attached (by aminoacyl-tRNA synthetases). tRNAs cope with the degeneracy of the genetic code in two manners: having more than one tRNA (with a specific anti-codon) for a particular amino acid; and 'wobble' base-pairing, i.e. permitting non-standard base-pairing at the 3rd anti-codon position.
Source: RNAcentral